AAUGAGAGGGAACAACUUCAGCUCAGUUGAUGAAAUACUGUGCGGGUCAGAAACACACUUCUUACAUUUACAGCUAAAAACGAAUAAUAUAUUUGCACUCUAUAUUAAGCCUUAGCAAAGUCCUUCCACCAAAUAGUGUCACACAAACAGAAUAACUAGAAAAUUGCUAGUCCUACACAUUGAGGUGUGCUACAAGGUAACUGGUAACUCUGUAAACAGGAGUAGGUGGAUCACCGGUCACUGAGCUGGCAAGCUAAAGUUAGCUAGUUAGUCACAUACAUGUACGUUCAGCAUAAUGAUUAUUUAUCUUAAGAAGUCAGCAUGGCUUAACAUAGUUUAUUUCGUUUUUGACCUCGACAUUGUUGCUGGAUAGAUACUUUCAUACCUAAUAUGCUGGCGCUGCUAGCUAGCUAAUGCUAACGGCGCUAGCUAACCUCAUAUCUGGAUGACUCACUCUAGUUCCCGAGAGAGCAGCAUACUGGCCCUCCAUUCCCAAACCUGAAGCCCCCUGUCCCCAGCAGGAAAGACCAGGAAAAAGUGCUAGCUUAAGCUGGGCCAGGCCUGGAGUGGGUGACUUGUAAUCCGUCUUUCCACCAAGCUAGGCCUGGAGUGGGUGACAGGUAACCCUCUUUCCACCAAGCUGGGCCAGGCCUGGAGUGGCACGCUGGAACUUCCAGAGGCUUGUAGACCUGAAGCAGUGUGAUGUGGUGCAGAUCUGACACCCCUAUUAGCUCAACCACAGUCUUCACAGCUGCAGUCGUCUGCCCCUGCAUCUGCUACACCGGCCACGACAGGUGAUACAGAUCUGCCACCCCCAGCAGUUCAUCUGCAGUCACAGCAGUCCUCUGCUUAAUUUACCAGCUGCACCAGGUCCUACUACACUGGCCGUUAAGGAAGAAACUAUUUUUACGAUACCCAGAUGAAUACAGAUCUGCCAUGUACUCCUCCACUGCCUGACAGCCUCACCCAGAAGUGCAUACACAGGGCCUAGCAAGACUGACAAAGCAGAGAUGGGUGGCUGACAAGGAAAAAUAAAACAUGCACUCAAAUACAUUAUACACAAUGUAAAUGAGUUGUAAUUACUUGUUCAUUUAAUGUUUGGUCCAUUUUAUUUUAGGAUUGGAUAGAUCUACUCCUUCAUAACCAUUGUCAAUAUCUACAUAAUUACUCUAAAUAUCUAUCAAAUCAAAGUGUGAUUGAUAAAUUUGUAAAGGCUAUGGCUUAAUGUUUACAGUUUGGGGAAUUCUGUGUGCUUUUUUCUGAGUUGAAAAACAUGUCUCCCUCUCACACACACAUUAGACCCAAUGUAAAUCAAUUGUAAUAACUUGUUUAUUUUAUGUAUGCUACAUUUUAUUUGAGGAAAAUAUCUGCAAUAAACUACAUUCAGUUAAAUCAAA
Long non-coding RNA from Oncorhynchus nerka (sockeye salmon), 1397 nucleotides. RefSeq lists it as uncharacterized. The record is from RefSeq and is a predicted model, not a curated record. NCBI's taxonomy places the organism in Eukaryota, Metazoa, Chordata, Actinopteri, Salmoniformes, Salmonidae. The transcript is spliced from 6 exons.